This 436-nucleotide ribosomal RNA is filed under the name uncultured bacterium. RNAcentral's name for it is "bacterial SSU rRNA". It matches the Rfam family "Bacterial small subunit ribosomal RNA", at positions 113 to 562 of the family's 1533-position model. The record is from RNAcentral.
ACACGUGGGUGAUCUGCCCUGCACUUCGGGAUAAGCCUGGGAAACUGGGUCUAAUACCGGAUAUGACCUCCUAUCGCAUGGUGGGUGGUGGAAAGAUUUAUCGGUGCAGGAUGGGCCCGCGGCCUAUCAGGCUCUUGUUGGUGGGGUAAUGGCCUACCAAGGCGAUGACGGGUAGCCGACCUGAGAGGGUGACCGGCCACACUGGGACUGGACACGGCCCAGACCUACGGGAGGCAGCAGUGGGCAAUAUUGCACAUUGGGCGAAAGCCUGAUGCAGCGACGCCGCGUGAGGGAUGACGGCCUUCGGGUUGUAACCUCUUUCAGCAGGGACGAAGCCCAAGUGACGGUACCUGCAGAAGAAGCAUUCCGGCUAACUACGUGCCAGCAGCCGCGGUAAUACGUAGGGUGCAAGCGUUGUCCGGAAUUACUGGGCGUA